UACGUAGGGUGCAAGCGUUAAUCGGAAUUACUGGGUUUAAAGGGUGCGUAGGUGGACAAUUAAGUCAGUGGUGAAAUCUCCGGGCUUAACCCGGAAACUGCCAUUGAUACUACUUGUCUUGAAUACUUUGGAGGUAAGCGGAAUAUGUCAUGUAGCGGUGAAAUGCUUAGAUAUGACAUAGAACACCAAUUGCGAAGGCAGCUUACUACACAGUAAUUGACACUGAGGCACGAAAGCGUGGGGAUCAAACAGG
RNAcentral lists this ribosomal RNA (253 nucleotides) under uncultured bacterium. RNAcentral's name for it is "partial 16S ribosomal RNA". It matches the Rfam family "Bacterial small subunit ribosomal RNA", at positions 524 to 776 of the family's 1533-position model. The record is from RNAcentral.